AUGUAUUGUCUUUUACAUACAAAGAUCUUAUUGAAGUGUCAUCUGAAUUGGAGGAUGAUUAUGUUACGUGUCAGCGACUUAAAGAAUGAAAGUUGUAAGAAACCGCUUGCAACCGUCCGGACUGAGUGGUCGGGACGAUGUUUUCCAACGCAGUUUUAUAUCGGUCUGCUCGGUGAUUUGAACGUCAUUUUACGCCUUACCGCUGGCACGCAAGUGUCUGACAACCUUGACCCACCCAAACCCCUCUUCCUUACCCUGCGCCCUUUCCUGCCCGAAAACAGCUACCCGCAUUUAUGUCAUUCUAGAGCGGGCGCUCCGUGUUGA
This 324-nucleotide ribosomal RNA is filed under the name Triticum aestivum (bread wheat). Its description in RNAcentral is "partial small subunit ribosomal RNA". The record is from RNAcentral. Lineage: Eukaryota; Viridiplantae; Streptophyta; Magnoliopsida; Poales; Poaceae.